AGCAGUGGGGAAUAUUGCACAAUGGGCGCAAGCCUGAUGCAGCCAUGCCGCGUGUAUGAAGAAGGCCUUCGGGUUGUAAAGUACUUUCAGUCGUGAGGAAGGCAUUAACGUUAAUAGCGUUAGUGUUUGACGUUAGCGACAGAAGAAGCACCGGCUAACUCCGUGCCAGCAGCCGCGGUAAUACGGAGGGUGCGAGCGUUAAUCGGAAUUACUGGGCGUAAAGCGCAUGCAGGUGGUUUGUUAAGUCAGAUGUGAAAGCCCGGGGCUCAACCUCGGAACCGCAUUUGAAACUGGCAGGCUAGAGUACUGUAGAGGGGGGUAGAAUUUCAGGUGUAGCGGUGAAAUGCGUAGAGAUCUGAAGGAAUACCAGUGGCGAAGGCGGCCCCCUGGACAGAUACUGACACUCAGAUGCGAAAGCGUGGGGAGCAAACAGGAUUAGAUACCCUGGUAGUCCACGCCGUAAACGAUGUCUACUUGGAGGUUGUGGCCUUGAGCCGUGGCUUUCGGAGCUAACGCGUUAAGUAGACCGCCUGGGGAGUACGGUCGCAAGAUUAAAACUCAAAUGAAUUGACGGGGGCCCGCACAAGCGGUGGAGCAUGUGGUUUAAUUCGAUGCAACGCGAAGAACCUUACCUACUCUUGACAUCCAGAGAACUUUCCAGAGAUGGAUUGGUGCCUUCGGGAACUCUGAGACAGGUGC
RNAcentral lists this ribosomal RNA (699 nucleotides) under Vibrio sp. RNAcentral's name for it is "bacterial SSU rRNA". It matches the Rfam family "Bacterial small subunit ribosomal RNA", at positions 350 to 1041 of the family's 1533-position model. Lineage: Bacteria; Pseudomonadati; Pseudomonadota; Gammaproteobacteria; Vibrionales; Vibrionaceae. The record is from RNAcentral.